Long non-coding RNA from Conger conger (European conger), 688 nucleotides. RefSeq lists it as uncharacterized. Lineage: Eukaryota; Metazoa; Chordata; Actinopteri; Anguilliformes; Congridae. The transcript is spliced from 3 exons. The record is from RefSeq and is a predicted model, not a curated record.
GACAGUUCAUAAAACCAGCUAUUCACAGUACAGGAGGCCUACUUCAGACGAUUAAAUACUUGCAUUCAAAACUUUCCUUACGUCCACAGUGUGUAUUUUAAGAAGGCAUUAUGUUGACAAUGUGACGGUGAUCAGGAGCACAGAAAGCCGGCUUCACGACCAGUUACAGGUGUUUGUGGUGUUACAACCGCUCCUGCGCUGUGAUGGACCCGACUGAGAAUUCAUGAAAACGUAGGCUACAGAGAUAUCGACAUAGUGUUAGAUACAGCGUCCGCACCCCGCCCUCUGGCAGGCCGAGGAAGAGAGACACAAGACGUCUCAUCUCUGUAAUCGUGUCCGUGGUGGUUCCAAGGCGCUUAUUGUACGGCGAUCAGCUAACCCUGCAAGACCCUCCCUCUGGAGCGGUGAGCCCAUUAUGCUGCUCCACAUGAGCCGGCCAAACUUGGCUUUUGGUAGGACCGGGAAUCCAACCCCGGUCCCCGGUGUGCAACUGCAGUGAACUGCAACCGGGGCGACAUGGCUCAGGCAGUAAGAGCAGUCGUCUGGUAGUCGGAGGGUUGCCGGUUCAAUCCCCCGCCUGGGCUGUGUCGAAGUGUCCCUGAGCAAGACACCUAAAAUGCUCCUGACGAGCUGGUCGGUGCCUUGCGUGGCAGCCAAUCGCCAUUGGUGUGUGUGUGUGUGUGUGUGU